This 253-nucleotide ribosomal RNA is filed under the name uncultured bacterium. RNAcentral's name for it is "partial 16S ribosomal RNA". It matches the Rfam family "Bacterial small subunit ribosomal RNA", at positions 524 to 776 of the family's 1533-position model. The record is from RNAcentral.
UACGGGGGGGGCAAGCGUUGUUCGGAAUUACUGGGCGUAAAGGGUUCGUAGGUGGCUUGCUAAGUCAGACGUGAAAUCCCUCAGCUUAACUGGGGAACUGCGUCUGAGACUGGUGAGCUUGAGUGCAGGAGAGGAACGCGGAAUUCCAGGUGUAGCGGUGAAAUGCGUAGAUAUCUGGAGGAACACCGGUGGCGAAGGCGGCGUGCUGGACUGCUACUGACACUGAGGAACGAAAGCCAGGGGAGCAAACGGG